RNAcentral lists this transfer RNA (69 nucleotides) under Ovis aries (sheep). It matches the Rfam family "tRNA". From Rfam's summary of the family: Transfer RNA (tRNA) molecules are approximately 80 nucleotides in length. Their secondary structure includes four short double-helical elements and three loops (D, anti-codon, and T loops). The record is from Rfam by way of RNAcentral. Lineage: Eukaryota; Metazoa; Chordata; Mammalia; Artiodactyla; Bovidae.
CCUGAUGGUUCAGACAGUAAAGCAUCUGCUUACAAUGCAGAAGACCCAGGUUUAAUCCCUGGGUCAGGA